UUUGUCUUUUUUUUUUGCAGUUAACUUGCAUAAAGCACUAUUGAUUACAUUUAAAAUUUGCAUAUUGACCCAAUGUUAGAAAAAUGUGUACAGUUGUCAUUUUUUUAUUUGUAUUACGAAAUGUUUCCUAAUAUUUAAUUUAUUUAUUA
Molecule: long non-coding RNA, 149 nt
Organism: Lontra canadensis (Northern American river otter)
Lineage: Eukaryota; Metazoa; Chordata; Mammalia; Carnivora; Mustelidae
Exons: 3
Source: RefSeq, a predicted model, not a curated record